CCAAUAUCCCUACUUUGGCAUAACACAGGUUUUGUUUUACCUGGACAGGGACAGUAUGGAUCCUCUGGAACUAUAAUGGAUGUGCGAGUGAGCAGCCUGGCAAGAAUCAUUUUCAAGCACCCAGCUUCCCAGUGCCAGGGGCCUCUCCCAUCAACAGCCUAUGGCUAUGAAUUCUUUAUCCCUGUGAGCUUGGCUGCCAUAUGUGAUUCGGACAGAAGAUGGAGAGAAGCCCCAGGCUGCGGUGGCAGGUGUGCGCUUCCAGGGAGUACGGUGUUUGAAGCCGGAGGGACUGCUGUGGCCUGUGUUUUCAGGACAGCAAGCCUGCGUCCUGGGUGGCACUGGAGGAUGGAGACAAGCAGGAAGGAGACCACAUGCUUGUUGUUCAAGGAUCCUGUUCAUGGGCCCGAGGAGCUCUGCCAUUAAGCAGUGAGCUUCCUGCCUCCUUCUCACUGUCUACGUUGGACAUGACUGAAGUAGAAGCUUCUGGAAGCAGAUGGAAGGUAAGUCCCAGCUGAGAAAUGGUUUAUUCUGAUUUACUCCUAUUACUCAGAACAGGAUUCCAACAGAGGAGCUAAUCCUUGGCAUGCCCCCUGCCCCUGGCUCCCUCUCCCACGUGCUCUGUCCCUCAUGUGGACUGGAUUUAAAGAUAGCUUUCAAAUACGACUUUAGGUUUCCAGACUCCCUGCAGAGUUCUCAGCUGCACAUUAUCUGGCAUGUGAUCUGGGUCAUCAGUGUGCUUGUGCUCCCUCAAAAUAUAUAAGCAGAGGUGCCUUCCUCCCACCUUCAGAAGCGCUGGCACU
Molecule: long non-coding RNA, 800 nt
Filed under: Camelus dromedarius (Arabian camel)
Lineage: Eukaryota; Metazoa; Chordata; Mammalia; Artiodactyla; Camelidae
Description: lncRNA (ENSCDRG00005021058.1)
Source: RNAcentral